Long non-coding RNA from Daktulosphaira vitifoliae (grape phylloxera), 482 nucleotides. RefSeq lists it as uncharacterized. Lineage: Eukaryota; Metazoa; Arthropoda; Insecta; Hemiptera; Phylloxeridae. The transcript is spliced from 3 exons. The record is from RefSeq and is a predicted model, not a curated record.
GUAUUGUAUUAAUUGUCAUGACAUUAUUUAUUAAUGUGGUCUGUAAUUUUUGGACAGAGCCUGGAAGACUGCGUUUGAAUAACAGUUCAGACCAUUGGCCAAGUGUGCCAGUUCUAAUGAAUUUAUAACGCAAACUGUGCUCGACUUGGAACGCAAAACAUUUUUGCUACUGUUGUACCUUUGGCGUGUUGAACGGCCAUGCUGUGCUUAAUUUUUGUUUAAGCGGUGUCUUCUCUUCACCAAAAAAGAUUGCAUUUUAUAUUGACGGCCAUUGUCUUUGUUCUAUUCUUGGUGACGUUUUGCUGCCGGACACAAAGUGAAGAACAGUGUUGUUUGCUCUCCGGGUUCAUUCAAAACGACUGCAGAAUUUUCCAUAAAUCGUACUUUAACAUUAGUUUCGAAUAAUAUUUUGUUUUUUGUUAUUCCCCACGUGGAAAGUUAUAUAGAAUUUUUGUAAUAUACUCAUUGUUCUUAUGUGGAAA